Molecule: ribosomal RNA, 2893 nt
Filed under: Pseudomonas syringae pv. actinidiae
Lineage: Bacteria; Pseudomonadati; Pseudomonadota; Gammaproteobacteria; Pseudomonadales; Pseudomonadaceae
Description: 23S ribosomal RNA
Rfam family: Bacterial large subunit ribosomal RNA
Source: RNAcentral
GGUCAAGUGAAGAAGCGCAUACGGUGGAUGCCUUGGCAGUCAGAGGCGAUGAAAGACGUGGUAGCCUGCGAAAAGCUUCGGGGAGUCGGCAAACAGACUGUGAUCCGGAGAUGUCUGAAUGGGGGAACCCAGCCAUCACAAGAUGGUUAUCUUACACUGAAUACAUAGGUGUAAGAGGCGAACCAGGGGAACUGAAACAUCUAAGUACCCUGAGGAAAAGAAAUCAACCGAGAUUCCCUUAGUAGUGGCGAGCGAACGGGGACCAGCCCUUAAGUUGUAUUGAGAUUAGCGGAACGCUCUGGAAAGUGCGGCCAUAGUGGGUGAUAGCCCUGUACGCGAAAAUCCCUUUGCAAUGAAAUCGAGUAGGACGGGGCACGAGAAACCUUGUCUGAAUAUGGGGGGACCAUCCUCCAAGGCUAAAUACUACUGACUGACCGAUAGUGAACCAGUACCGUGAGGGAAAGGCGAAAAGAACCGCGGAGAGCGGAGUGAAAUAGAUCCUGAAACCGUAUGCGUACAAGCAGUGGGAGCCCACUUUGUUGGGUGACUGCGUACCUUUUGUAUAAUGGGUCAGCGACUUAUUUUCAGUGGCGAGCUUAACCGAAUAGGGGAGGCGUAGCGAAAGCGAGUCUUAAUAGGGCGUCUAGUCGCUGGGAAUAGACCCGAAACCGGGCGAUCUAUCCAUGGGCAGGUUGAAGGUUGGGUAACACUAACUGGAGGACCGAACCGACUACCGUUGAAAAGUUAGCGGAUGACCUGUGGAUCGGAGUGAAAGGCUAAUCAAGCUCGGAGAUAGCUGGUUCUCCUCGAAAGCUAUUUAGGUAGCGCCUCAUGUAUCACUGUAGGGGGUAGAGCACUGUUUCGGCUAGGGGGUCAUCCCGACUUACCAAACCGAUGCAAACUCCGAAUACCUACAAGUGCCGAGCAUGGGAGACACACGGCGGGUGCUAACGUCCGUCGUGAAAAGGGAAACAACCCAGACCGUCAGCUAAGGUCCCAAAGUCAUGGUUAAGUGGGAAACGAUGUGGGAAGGCUUAGACAGCUAGGAGGUUGGCUUAGAAGCAGCCACCCUUUAAAGAAAGCGUAAUAGCUCACUAGUCGAGUCGGCCUGCGCGGAAGAUGUAACGGGGCUCAAACCAUGCACCGAAGCUACGGGUAUCACCUUUGGUGAUGCGGUAGAGGAGCGUUCUGUAAGCCUGUGAAGGUGAGUUGAGAAGCUUGCUGGAGGUAUCAGAAGUGCGAAUGCUGACAUGAGUAACGACAAUGGGUGUGAAAAACACCCACGCCGAAAGACCAAGGUUUCCUGCGCAACGUUAAUCGACGCAGGGUUAGUCGGUCCCUAAGGCGAGGCUGAAAAGCGUAGUCGAUGGAAAACAGGUUAAUAUUCCUGUACUUCUGGUUAUUGCGAUGGAGGGACGGAGAAGGCUAGGCCAGCCUGGCGUUGGUAGUCCAGGUUUAAGGUGGUAGGCUGAGAUCUUAGGUAAAUCCGGGAUCUUAAGGCCGAGAGCUGAUGACGAGUGUUCUUUUAGAACAUGAAGUGGUUGAUGCCAUGCUUCCAAGAAAAGCUUCUAAGCUUCAGGUAACCAGGAACCGUACCCCAAACCGACACAGGUGGUUGGGUAGAGAAUACCAAGGCGCUUGAGAGAACUCGGGUGAAGGAACUAGGCAAAAUGGCACCGUAACUUCGGGAGAAGGUGCGCCGGUGAGGGUGAAGCAUUUACUGCGUAAGCCCACGCCGGUCGAAGAUACCAGGCCGCUGCGACUGUUUAUUAAAAACACAGCACUCUGCAAACACGAAAGUGGACGUAUAGGGUGUGACGCCUGCCCGGUGCCGGAAGGUUAAUUGAUGGGGUUAGCGCAAGCGAAGCUCUUGAUCGAAGCCCCGGUAAACGGCGGCCGUAACUAUAACGGUCGUAAGGUAGCGAAAUUCCUUGUCGGGUAAGUUCCGACCUGCACGAAUGGCGUAACGAUGGCGGCGCUGUCUCCACCCGAGACUCAGUGAAAUUGAAAUCGCUGUGAAGAUGCAGUGUAUCCGCGGCUAGACGGAAAGACCCCGUGAACCUUUACUAUAGCUUUGCACUGGACUUUGAAUUUGCUUGUGUAGGAUAGGUGGGAGGCUUUGAAGCGUGGACGCCAGUCUGCGUGGAGCCAACCUUGAAAUACCACCCUGGCAACUUUGAGGUUCUAACUCAGGUCCGUUAUCCGGAUCGAGGACAGUGUAUGGUGGGUAGUUUGACUGGGGCGGUCUCCUCCUAAAGAGUAACGGAGGAGUACGAAGGUGCGCUCAGACCGGUCGGAAAUCGGUCGUAGAGUAUAAAGGCAAAAGCGCGCUUGACUGCGAGACAGACACGUCGAGCAGGUACGAAAGUAGGUCUUAGUGAUCCGGUGGUUCUGUAUGGAAGGGCCAUCGCUCAACGGAUAAAAGGUACUCCGGGGAUAACAGGCUGAUACCGCCCAAGAGUUCAUAUCGACGGCGGUGUUUGGCACCUCGAUGUCGGCUCAUCACAUCCUGGGGCUGAAGCCGGUCCCAAGGGUAUGGCUGUUCGCCAUUUAAAGUGGUACGCGAGCUGGGUUUAGAACGUCGUGAGACAGUUCGGUCCCUAUCUGCCGUGGACGUUUGAGAUUUGAGAGGGGCUGCUCCUAGUACGAGAGGACCGGAGUGGACGAACCUCUGGUGUUCCGGUUGUCACGCCAGUGGCAUUGCCGGGUAGCUAUGUUCGGAAAAGAUAACCGCUGAAAGCAUCUAAGCGGGAAACUUGCCUCAAGAUGAGAUCUCACUGGAACCUAGAGUUCCCUGAAGGGCCGUCGAAGACUACGACGUUGAUAGGUUGGGUGUGUAAGCGCUGUGAGGCGUUGAGCUAACCAAUACUAAUUGCCCGUGAGGCUUGACCAU